This 22-nucleotide non-coding RNA is filed under the name Arabidopsis thaliana (thale cress). Lineage: Eukaryota; Viridiplantae; Streptophyta; Magnoliopsida; Brassicales; Brassicaceae. The record is from RNAcentral.
CAACUUGGAGCCGAAUCCACCC